Camelus ferus (Wild Bactrian camel) is the source of this 72-nucleotide transfer RNA. It matches the Rfam family "tRNA". Rfam says of the family: Transfer RNA (tRNA) molecules are approximately 80 nucleotides in length. Their secondary structure includes four short double-helical elements and three loops (D, anti-codon, and T loops). The record is from Rfam. NCBI's taxonomy places the organism in Eukaryota, Metazoa, Chordata, Mammalia, Artiodactyla, Camelidae.
AAAGGUAUAGCCUAGUGGUAGAGUGCCUGCCUAGCAUGCACAAGGUCCUGGGUUCAAUCCCCAGUACCUCCA